RNAcentral lists this ribosomal RNA (4905 nucleotides) under Triticum aestivum (bread wheat). RNAcentral describes it as "partial small subunit ribosomal RNA". The record is from RNAcentral. Lineage: Eukaryota; Viridiplantae; Streptophyta; Magnoliopsida; Poales; Poaceae.
AUGGCGGAGGCGGAAUCGGCGCCCGGACGCGGAGGGGCGGGCGAGGACGCGAUGGACGCCGCCGGUCCCGCGCCGGCGGAGGCCGUCCCCGUCCCCGACGUUAACAUGAACCCUCUCAAGAGGCCAUCGGAGUCGUGUGCUCAAGGAGACGAAGCAGACGGGCAGAAGCGGCAGAAGACAGAGUCUCAAGUUUUCACACCCAGAAGAUACCAGCUCGAUGUCUUUGAGGUUGCCAAGGCGCGAAACACGAUUGCAAUGCUUGACACAGGAGCCGGGAAGACGAUGAUUGCCGUGAUGCUCAUGAAAGAGUUUGGGAAAAAGAUCGACAAAUCAAAUAACAAUGGGAAGAUCAUAUUCCUUGCACCAACAGUUCAGCUCGUCACUCAGCAAUGCGAGGUGAUUAAAACCCACACAGAUUUUGAGGUGGAACUGUAUUGCGGUGCCUCGGGGGUUGAUCACUGGACGCCUCAGAGAUGGAAAGAAAAAGUAUCGAAAUCUCAGGUCAUGGUGAUGAUACCAGAUGUGUUGCUAAGUGCUUUAGGCAAAGCUUUCUUGAGCUUGGACAUGGUUAGUCUUAUGAUAUUUGAUGAGUGCCAUCGUGCAACUGGCAAACACCCUUAUUCGAGAAUAAUGAAGGACUACUAUCACCAAUCUGACCACAAGCCAAAGGUGUUUGGUAUGACGGCCUCGCCUGUUAUAAGAAAAGGUGUCUCUUCUAAUCUGGAUUGUGAAGUUCAGUUCACUGAACUGGAAAAGCUUCUAAAUGCUAAGAUCUACGCUGUGGCUGAUAGAGCAGAGAUAGAGCUUUGCGCUCCUUCUGCAAAAGAAGUGGACAGAUACUAUGACCCAAAAACUGUUUGUUUCAAGGAUUUGAGUGAAGAGUUGGGAUUUUUGCAUUCCGAGUACGAUGCAUUAAUAACUACAUUGCAGAAUAAGCCUAACUACCAGAAUAAAGAAUCCGAUGAAAUAGCUAAAGAAUCACAGAGGCGUCUAUCCAAUUCUUCAGCCAAAAUCCUGUAUUGCAUCGAUGAUAUUGGUCUUCUUUGUGCUAGUGAGGUCACCAAAAUCUACAUUGAAAGGGGACAGAGAACAGGUUGGCUGAAGAAAGCUUCUGAUGCCACAAAUAUUCAAAGUGUUGCAAAUAGCUCGUUCCUGCUUGCAGAAAUUUCAGCGCUUCAUCUGAAGUUCUUUGAGGAUAUGUCACGUAUAAUUGACAAGCAUCUCCAGCAAGGUAGCGAUGUGCUUCUAAAUUCUGAGAGUGGAUGUGUGGAAGCAAUUAAGACGGGUUAUAUUUCACCAAAGCUUUAUGAACUCAUCCAAAUCUUCCGCUCUUUCAGUAACUGUGAUCAUGUCCGAUGCCUCAUUUUUGUGGAUCGAAAGAUCACUGCUAGAGCCAUGGAACGGACAAUGAAGAAAAUUGGACACCUCUCACAUUUUACAUUUUCUUCUCUUACUGGAGGGAGUUCUUCAGUGGACGCUCUGACCCCUAAAAUGCAGAAGGACACACUGGAUUCAUUUCGCUCCGGAAAGGUGAACUUACUAUUUACUACGGAUGUCGCGGAAGAGGGUAUUGAUGUCACAGACUGCUCGUGUGUAAUAAGAUUUGAUUUGCCAAAGACUACCCGUAGUUAUAUGCAGUCACGUGGACGAGCACGGCAGAAGGACUCUCAGUACAUACUAAUGAUUGAAAGGGAAAAUGUUAAACAAAAUAAUUUGAUAUCUGCCAUUUUGAGAAGCGAGAAGUCAAUGAUUGAGACUGCUUUGAACAGAGAUUCCGAGGAUCUACUCCCUGGUUUCUUCCCUGUUGAAGAAAAAAAUGAAUACCUUGUUGGCACAACCGGAGCAAAAGUAACUGCUGGUUCUAGCAUUAGUGUUAUCGUCCAAUACUGUGACAAGCUUCUGGGGGACAAGUACGACACCACAAAACCUUUGUUUGAGUUCACCAACCAUGGUGAUGGUUUUGUGUGUACGUUAAUGCUACCAUCUAGUGACAUGUUGCCACCUUUGGUGGGUCCAAAAGCAAGAAACAAGAAGAAAGCAAAACAGCUUGUUUGUCUUGAUGCAUGUAAGCAGCUGCAUCAGCUAGGAGUACUUACUGACUCUCUUUGUCUAUCUGUUGAAGAGCCACCACUGGAAUCUGUGAACAAAACUGACGUUCUCACAUCUUUGGCUGGUGUAGGUACAACCAAACGAAAAGAGCUACAUGGUACAACUAGAGUAUGUGGGUUGUCUGGUACCUGGGCAUCAGAGAGAACUGCUGUUAAGCUUCAAGGCUACAGGAUGAAAUUUCUUUGUGACCAAGUUGGUCAGAAAUACUCUAAUUUUGUUCUGUUAAUUGAUAAAACUAUAGCACAUGAAGCUGCUAAUUUGGACAUUGAUCUGUUUCUACAUGACAAGAUGGUGAAAGCUUCAGUAUCUCCUUGUGGCCUUUUUGAGUUGGAUGUUCAACAGCUGGAGCAAGCAAAGCUAUUUCAAGCACUUCUGUUCAAUGGUUUGUUCGGAAAGUUGUUCACUGGAUCAAAAUCAUCCGGCGUUCCACGGGAGUUUAUUCUCAGUAAAGAUGACACGUUUAUCUGGAAUAAUCCAAAUAUGUAUUUGAUUUUACCUAUGGAUCCUACUGUGGAGUCCCAUGACAUUUCAUGCAUCAACUGGAGAGUGAUUGAUGAAGCCGCUACAGCUGUUAAACUUUUGAGGAAGAUUUAUUCUGAAGAAAAAAUGAACAUACUGGGAAUUCUUGAUUUCGACCAAAAUGAUGAAGAUCUAAUUCAUUUGGCCAACACAUCAUCAGAUGAGAAAGGAACAGAAUUCCAUACCUUUGCAGAAUACUUUGAAAAGAAGUAUGACAUAGUUCUUCGUCAUCCCUCACAGCCAUUACUAGUGCUGAAACCAAGUCAUAGGCCUCACAACAUCCUUUCCUCGAAGCUCAGAGAUGAAGGUAACGGUGAGAAGAAAAAGGGUGACACAUCAGAUAUAACUAAGGCAAACAACCGUGUUCACAUGCCCCCAGAGUUGCUGAUUCCCCUUAAUUUUUCUGAUGACAUUUUAAGAACAUUUUAUUUGUUCCCAUCUUUGAUGCAUCGUAUAGAGACAUUAAUGCUAGCCAGUCAACUAAAGAGUGAAAUUUCAUAUGACGAUUCUAAUGUAUCAAGCUUUCUGAUUCUAGAAGCUAUCACAACUCUUCGAUGCUCUGAAGACUUCUCAAUGGAGCGUCUGGAAUUAUUGGGAGAUUCUGUGUUGAAGUAUGUCGUUAGUUGUCACCUUUUCCUAAAAUUUCCUAACAUGGAUGAGGGCCAGUUAACAUCCAGUAGGGUUGAUAUAAUAUCUAAUGCUGCACUUUAUGGGUUUGGAAUUGAACACAAAAUACAGGGUUAUAUACGUGAUGCUGCAUUUGAUCCUCGUCGAUGGCUUGCACCAGGACAGCUCUCCAUUCAUCCUGUUCCUUGUAAUUGCCGAGUAAAUUCUGAGGUUGUCACUGAGGAUAUUAAUGUGAAAGUAGGCCAGCUGUGUGAUAAGGGACACAGAUGGAUGUGUUCCAAAACAAUUUCUGAUUGCGUCGAAGCUAUAAUCGGUGCGUAUUAUGUAGAAGGUGGCUUAAGAGCAGCAAUGGCUGUUCUCAAAUGGUUGGGAAUUAAUGUUGAAGUUGAGGAAGAAUUGAUUGGUCAGUUCUUGAGUGCAUCUGUGCAGACUUAUCUUCCAAAAAAUGAUGUAAUUGAAAAGGUUGAAGCAAAACUAGGCUAUGUAUUUUUGAUGAAAGGUCUUCUGCUAGAAGCUCUUACCCACCCAUCACUGCAGGAAUCAGCAGAAGGAUAUUCCUACGAGCGUCUGGAGUUCCUUGGUGAUGCUGUCUUGGAUAUUCUCUUAACACGACAUCUUUUCUAUAGUCAUAAAGACACCGAUGAGGGGGAGCUGACAGAUUUACGGUCUGCAUCAGUAAACAAUGAAAAUUUUGCACAACUCGCAGUGAAGCAUAAGUUAUAUCAGUUUCUCCAGCAUUCUUCUGGGAAAUUACCAGAAAAUAUUACUGAAUAUGUGGAUAGUUUAGAGAACCCUUCCAUGGACAAAGUCAACCUUUUAUCAGAUGCGGCAUUAAGAGGGCCUAAGGUUCUGGGUGAUGUUGUAGAAAGUAUUGCGGGUGCAAUUCUUAUAGAUAGAAAACUUGAUUUGGAGGUAGUUUGGGGUAUUUUCAAACCUCUUCUUUCCCCUAUUGUUACACCUGAGAAGCUGGAGUUACCUCCCUUCAGAGAGCUUCUCGAAUGGUGCAACAAAAGUGGGUACUUUCUAGGAAUUAAGUGUACAGAUGGAAUUAAGCGUACAGAUGGAGACAAAAUAGAGGCUACUCUGGAUGUGCAACUCAAGGAGACGCUCCUUGUCAGGCAAGGUUGUGGCAAGAGCAAAAAGGAUGCUAAAGCACAUGCAGCUUCCAUGUUACUCAAGGACCUUGAGGUGGAAGGACUUAUAGUACCAAAGAAUGCAAGCAACACGCAACAGUUCCAGGAUCAUCGUAACAUUUUUGAUGCAAUGGAUAUACAACUUUCAACACCAACCAGGGGAAAGAGAUCAGCUGGAUCAAAGAUAGCCGCCAGUCUUGAUAAACCAGUGGACUGGCCGGUGAGAAUGAGCAAAGGAGGACCCCGUGCAGGACUGUAUGAGUUCUGCAAAAAGUUGCAAUGGCCAGCUCCUAAUUUCGAUUGUGCGAAGGUAGAACAAAGUGUGCCUACGCCUCAAGGUCAAGGGUUCACCUUCGCGUCAACCAUAAAACUGCACAUACCGAAUAGUGAUGUGAUCAGCCUCACAGGGGAUUGUUUUGCGGAUAAGAAGAGCGCGAUGGAUUCCGCCGCACUGCUCAUGCUCUAUGAGCUUCAGCAGCGAGGGAGAUUGCAAGUCCAGGAGAUUCAUGUUUCGUGA